GGAUGUGGGAACGACAUGGCUGUGAUAUCUGUCACCCCGUUGAUCACCUGGGUUGAUUUGGCUGAUCUGGCUGGCUAGGAGUGUGUUCCCUUCCUCCCUCACCACUCCACAUGCGUUCUUCCCAAAUAGAGAUGAACUGGUCUGUGGUAGAGGGUAUAUGUGUAGCUGUGCUCCCCUGCUAGAUGCUAUGAGAUAAGCGCUCUUGUCAUCCUUGGAAGAGACUGAAGAACAGAGGUUGAGUAAUGUGCAUAAUGUCACAUACUGU
Molecule: small nuclear RNA, 265 nt
Filed under: Erinaceus europaeus (western European hedgehog)
Lineage: Eukaryota; Metazoa; Chordata; Mammalia; Eulipotyphla; Erinaceidae
Description: 7SK RNA
Rfam family: 7SK RNA
About the family: 7SK was discovered as an abundant small nuclear RNA in the mid-70s but a possible function has only recently been suggested. Two independent studies have found that 7SK RNA binds the CDK9/cyclin T complex (known as elongation factor P-TEFb). P-TEFb activates transcription by phosphorylating the C-terminal domain of RNA polymerase II.
Source: Rfam by way of RNAcentral